Zootermopsis nevadensis is the source of this 4462-nucleotide non-coding RNA. The record is from RefSeq and is a predicted model, not a curated record. Lineage: Eukaryota; Metazoa; Arthropoda; Insecta; Blattodea; Termopsidae.
AUGAUUGGGCCCUUACAACCCUAAAACAGAGGUCAAAGUGCCUAAUGGGGUGGGCCCCAGGGUGCACACACAAUGGAACCCAGAAAUUCAGCUGAUGGGAUGUGACAAAACAAUAGCAAAAUGAAUUUUGGACAAUUGAGGUGGGAAUAAGGUUCAACUGCAGAAUUGGCAAUUGCAGCAGACCCAAUGGCAAUGGGCCCUUUCGUUAUUCAGGCUGAAAUGAGUGCAACAGGAAUUUCAUAACUGCUGUAUCUGAACAGAAGAGUUACAGGCAUUGAGUGGAACAUAAAUUGUUGGGGCCAAUAUAUCCAGAAAAACAGAAAAUAAAUACCAAGCAGGUUAUACUCGUUUAUUUUCUUGUGAAGCUGGGGUGAAAAUCAAUCGGAAGAACGCUACGCAACAGGGUGGGAAGUGUGCUUCUGGGCUGCUCUCCCAGGCCACUUGGUACAGAGCAGAACACACAAGCUUUGUCAAGCAUAUGUUACAGCCGAAUGAAGUGGUUCAGGCCAGAAAUCGGUGACCUGUCGGCUGAACGAGAUGAGGAAAGAUCAGUGAAGCGACAUACUGGAAUCCCUGGCCAGUGACAACCAGUUGCUAUGGAAGAUGCCGAAACGGGUGAUGCGAGUUCCUACUCCUUCGCCACCCUUUCAGGUGUCGGGAGGACUUGCUCUCUGGUUCCGUGUAAGCGGAAGCCUUGAGGUUCGGUUUCAGCUGGUGGACGACCCGUCGGACCCGGUAGUUACUGACAUGGUUAAUGAGGCGUUGCGCUCAUACUAGGAAGUCCCCGCAAAUAAACCGAAAUUAAAAAGUCCCUCUGAGGUCCUUCAGGCCAUCGAGGGACUCAGGGUUGACAAGGCUCCUGGCCGAAACAGGGUCCUGAAACAUCUAACUAAACGAGCGAUGACGUUUCUCACGAAAGUGUUUAACGCAGUCCUGUGUAGGCAGUACUUCCCAGCAGCACGGAACCACGUCUGCGCUUGCGUAUGACUCUUCCUUAAGCUUUUUUUUUUGUUGGUUGGUUCAGGCCAGACUAGUAAUGGCUAAACGGUAAAACGUGAUAACACUGAUCUGUUCUGAUAUAAAACUCUACAAUCGCUGCCAAGUUGGAACUGAAAGUUAAGGUAGAAGGCUGUCCCCACCCAGCUAUUGUGAUUCGUUGUUCUGUGUCCCAGCGAAGGUCAAACUUCAUACAAAGAGACGGUGUAGUGUAACAUCGUAUUUUACAUGCGCUCACGCAGAUUGGCAGAAUGAUUUUCUUGAUGUGAGUAAAACUUGACAUACCGCGCAGACUUACUUGUAAUGAGAAUAGAAAUACGAAGAAUGUUGUAAGACUAGUUCAGUGGCUUGAAAAUCAGUUGCGAGUGGCAACUUAGGAAAUGGGCGUCGGUCCAGGGCUUCGCGCCCAUAGCGACCUCAAGUGCCUCACACCUGUAUUCGUAGGUAUCGGAAUUGCUUUUUCUCCGUUUAAAUUGCUGUAGUUUGAGGAAACUUUUGUCUGAGUCCGACAACAAUGACAAAGGAAUUUAAAAAGUUUUCGAUAAAGGCCUAUGGAAAGUAAACGACAAUUUUAGCGCCUCCCACAAACAGCCAAUCUGCUAUAAAAUGACAUACGAAUUCCAUAGGCCACUUGUUGCUGACCGACACCGAAAAUUCACGUUUCUCUUCAUGUUCACCUGAACGACUUCGUAAAUAAUAAGAGCCUGUGCCCUUACGGUUAGCAACUUCAGAGAUUACAUGGCAAGCGGUAUGACAAACGUCCACAUAUGCUUAACAAUGGAUGGCAGACUAUUUAAAAACAGAAGCGUAAAAAGUUUUCAACGUGCACCCACUCUUGUCUACUGUACUGUUAUUAAAUUAAUGAAAACUGCAAUCCAAUUUAAGUAGUUCAUACUACAACCACUAUCGCUAAUCACUAAAAUGCCUGACACAGGUUUUAAACGUUUCUUCUUUAAUGAUUCAUUUUCUGUGAAACUGACUGUUGAGAGAAUAACUUAGUUCCAGAUUGACGGCCUUGACUUGGUCUCUGUAGUUCUUACAUACACAACAUUGAAAUUGUGGGUGUAUAUAUCCGCCUGUAGCUCGAGAACGGAUCCUCAAAUGUGGCAUGCAUAUUUACUGAAACCAGAAAGAGAUUUUGAACAGGUCUUAACAACGAAAAAGUAUCCUGAACUCUAAUCCUGGUGAGGGUGGUUUCUGUAGCCGCAAAACUAAGGACGAGCCAUGACCCAAUCUGUUUGCUUCGACAACAGCAUUUCUGGAAUAACGGAUACAACCCUGAAAAACUGUCCCUAGGUUCAAGUCCCCUGAAGACCUUUUAGGGAUAAUUUUUCAUAUAACUUUCGAAUGAUUAUGCCUAAGAAAAGUUUUCGGGGAAGAAAAAUUGACAAGAAAUGCAAAUGUGGAAUUUCCCCGAAGUAACACUGCUGCCACUCUGCUAGUCUUACAAAAAAAAAUUGUUUAUACACUGGUGUAAUCUCGAACGCAAAUUCCCCGUUACUCGCUGUGUAACUUCGCAGGUAUAGCUACAUUGUCAUCUCCAAUGUUCUGCAAUCAAUGCACAGUCAUCGGUGGUGGAGCUAGAGGGGAUUUUCUGCUGCCCACAAUUUGAACAUUUAAAUCUUUGUGUACGAUUCGACGUACGGUUCGGUCGAAUAUCCUUGAAGCAUCUACUCUUACCGUGUUCAAUAUUGUAUGGAGUUCUGAAGGUAACCGUUUUACCUGGACUUUUUUUUACCCAGAACCAAGACGGUUUCGUCAAUGGCCCUAGGACCAUCACCGAUGUGAGAAGAAACUGCAGCAAUGCCGGUGGAGAUGCACGGCGCGUAACGGGAAAUUUGCAUUCCAGAGUACAAUGUAUACAGAAGAAAAGAAGUCAUUCUAGUGACAAAGUUUUUAAAAGUGUGUAUAAAAUGCUUUCUAUUGUACUUCAUCUUGUUUCAAAAGACAAGUUUCAGUUUAAAACCAUUACGAAAAAAGAACGCUGACAUGUCAACACAACACAAGAAUUACGGAUUGUCGCCAUAGUGUUCGUGAUGGUCAAGCGCCCUCAAAUGAUGGCGCCAACGCACGAAUACAGUGUUAUGUACACAGAUAAUACCAACGCGGUUUACGCACAGAAGAGAUCCAGUUAGACGCAUUACAAAUGAUCUCACCAGUUAAAUCGAAGGAAGUACGAUAAUAAGUAAUGAUAACAUAUGAAUAUGGACGGUGGUGAAGUGAUGUUGAUGGGAAAAUGGACUUGGAGAGAUACCUGUUCCAUUGCCACUUUGUUUACCAUGAAUCCCACAUGGACUGCACUGAGCGCACACUUGGGCCUCUACAGUGAGAAGAUGGUGACUGCUUCAGCUGUUGCAUGGCCAAAAGAGUUUUUUUAGGCCUGUUGUUAUGUAUUUCAUUGCAGAGAAUAAUUAUUGAAGCAACUGUUCAGUGGUGGAGAGUGCAUCCAUCUGCAUCGGCUAUGAGCCCUCAGAGCAAAUUGUGCCCCGAGAGGGUAGCUGGUGCAAGAGAAUAAAGCAUGUUUACAUCAGUGAAGUUAUUGUCACCCGCAAUUGAAGUAUAUGCUUUGGUUGCGUAUACACAACAGGCAGUAUCUUGUUAUUGGAGAAUUAUUUCACUCUGUAGCACGUCAUUUUCGGAUGGGAGUCCAGUGCAAUUUCCCAGAUCAUUAAAAAUACUUGUGUAACAAUCUGGAAUGUCCACCGGCUGCAGAACUUCCCGACACAGAUUAUCGAAGGUCUCGUUCGUUAUGAUUGUCACUGAAGCUUGCUCAUUGCUGUCAUUUAAUGAGACCUCAUCCUAGAAGAAUCGUUCAUGGCCCAAGACGAGUUUGCACUGCCCUUUAAAUGCUGUGCAUUGCAGAGUCCGUUUUUGAUCGUUGUACAUCUCACCGUUAUUUGCCGUCCGUGAGCGAAGAAGUAUGGGACCACACAGGGUCUAUAGUGGCCCAGAUGCUGUCGGGAGUUUGGUGCACAGGCUAAAGUGUUUUUCAUGUGUGUCAUGUGGUUGUUUUGCUGACUUCCUGCAAAACCAGUCCCUGAAUCUGUCUCUCUUUGCUGACACAUUCACUGACAUUUUGUUGAUUAUGAAAUGGGCUUCACACGCACAUAAAGAAAAUCCACUCAGCUGGCGGACACCUGAGGUCCAAGUUGCGGAUCCUCGGUUGAGAAACGGUGGCCCACACAACCUGCAUUAUACAGAUACGAGGUAUUACUCUGAAACAACUGUUUGUGCUGCCAAAUUAUUCAGGUCAUUUUCAUUUAGAGAGGAGCAGCCUUGUCUUUUAAUUUCAACAUGCUUUAAAAGUAACGUCUUCUCUGCAUAAAUUUUGAACAUGCCUUAAUCAUAGUUUUCCUACAAAGAAACUUUAAGUUAAAAUAUGUAAUUCAGACAUCAUGUCCCGCACUGUAGCCGCGCGGUCGGAGGCAUCAUGCUCCGGACCGGCGAUACGGAAUGUGUGUUGGUU